Molecule: non-coding RNA, 66 nt
Organism: Streptococcus parauberis NCFD 2020
Lineage: Bacteria; Bacillati; Bacillota; Bacilli; Lactobacillales; Streptococcaceae
Source: Rfam
CAAUAUCAUGAUGGUCAAAGCUCAUGGAGAUUGUAGGUCUUUUUGACGUACACUUUCCUCGGGUUU